AGAGUUUGAUUAUGGCUCAGGAUGAACGCUGGCGGCGUGCCUAAUACAUGCAAGUCGAACGAAACUUCUUUAUCACCGAGUGCUUGCACUCACCGAUAAAGAGUUGAGUGGCGAACGGGUGAGUAACACGUGGGCAACCUGCCCAAAAGAGGGGGAUAACACUUGGAAACAGGUGCUAAUACCGCAUAACCAUAGUUACCGCAUGGUAACUAUGUAAAAGGUGGCUAUGCUACCGCUUUUGGAUGGGCCCGCGGCGCAUUAGCUAGUUGGUGGGGUAAAGGCUUACCAAGGCAAUGAUGCGUAGCCGAACUGAGAGGUUGAUCGGCCACAUUGGGACUGAGACACGGCCCAAACUCCUACGGGAGGCAGCAGUAGGGAAUCUUCCACAAUGGGCGAAAGCCUGAUGGAGCAACGCCGCGUGGGUGAAGAAGGUCUUCGGAUCGUAAAACCCUGUUGUUAGAGAAGAAAGUGCGUGAGAGUAACUGUUCACGUUUCGACGGUAUCUAACCAGAAAGCCACGGCUAACUACGUGCCACCAGCCGCGGU
RNAcentral lists this ribosomal RNA (546 nucleotides) under uncultured bacterium. RNAcentral's name for it is "bacterial SSU rRNA". It matches the Rfam family "Bacterial small subunit ribosomal RNA", at positions 8 to 521 of the family's 1533-position model. The record is from RNAcentral.